Salvelinus fontinalis (brook trout) is the source of this 10743-nucleotide RNA transcript. It is a transcript of the gene named histone-lysine N-methyltransferase, H3 lysine-79 specific-like, with no coding region annotated. The record is from RefSeq and is a predicted model, not a curated record. The transcript has 19 exons. NCBI's taxonomy places the organism in Eukaryota, Metazoa, Chordata, Actinopteri, Salmoniformes, Salmonidae.
CAAGCUUUCCCCUCUUGUACUCUCAUCCCCUCCGUCCCAAUACACUCACAAUGUUGCAAUGGCAGUUGCUCUACAGUGCCACCAUUUUACUCAUGCGCCUAAAUAUGUUGCUGUACGACCUAGAAUUUUUAUUUGGGAGCACCCGUGCGCCUACAAAAAAAAUAUAAGGAUUCUAGCUUUAUUACCUCCAAUAUUUUUUCAUUGUGCUCCUACAUUUCUAUGUGCGCCUACAUGUUCCAACUUAGGUGCACAUGUGCUCCUUGUAAAAAAAGGUCUGUUUAUAGUAGGGCAACUGAAUUGAAUGAGAGCUCUCAAUCAGUUCAUGUAUAUAAAAUACCAAUGCGUACGGUAGCAGUACUCAGAACAUGUUUAGUCGGACAUAUCCCUGCAGGAAACAACUGUAUCUGCUGGUAUAGCCCUGCAGUGGACAGAGGAGAGGUGAUACUGAGACAGGUGAUGGCGCAACCAACAUUACUACUAGCCUACAUGUUGUACCAUGAGUGUUUUCAACUUGUUUAGAAACAUUAAAAACAGGACUUGCUUGCUUACUUUUCCACUCAGUUAGCCUGACUGCAAGCAGGAAAUCUUCACUUUUCUGCCUGUUGGUCGUGGCGGAAUAUUGUGCCAAUAGAACCUAGAACAGGCCACUCCAACCCUGUUCCUGGAGAGCUAUCGUCCUGUAGGGUUUCUUGCCAAUCCUAAAGUAGCGCACCUGAUUCUAAUAAUUAUACUGAAAAAAAAUAUAAACACCAUGUAAAGUGUUGGUUUUAUGAGCUGAGAUAAUGUCUACAUUUUUCCAUAUGCACAAAAAGCUUAAUUAUAAAAUUGUCCAUGAAUUUGUUUACAUCCCUGUUAGUAAACAUUAUGCCUUUGCCAAGAUAAUCCAUCCACCUGACAGGUGUGGCAUAUCAAAUAGCUGACACAGGUGUAGCUUGUGCUGGGGGACUAUAAAAGGCCACUCUAAAAUGUGCAGUUGUCACAACACAAUGCCACAUGUCUCAAGUUUUGAGGGAGCGUGCAAUUGACAUGCUGACUGCAGGAAUGUCCACCAGAGCUGUUGCCAGAGAAUUUAAUGUUCAUGUCUCUGCCAUAAGCCGCUUCCAAUGUCGUUUUAAAUAAUUUGGCAGUAGGUCCAACUAGCCUCACAACCACAGACCACGUUUAACCACGCCAGCCCAGGACCUCCACAUCCGGCUUCUUCACCUGUGGGAUCGUCUUACAUGCUGACUGAACCGGGGCACGCAAAUGUUGAUUUCUGUCCAUCCACACCAGACGCGAUCAGGAAACGCAGGUUAAAAUAUGAAAAUGAACGCUGAUCCAACUCAUUUGCGGACAGGUUAAUAGGCAUCAAACAUUCAUUCUAAUUUGUCCUGGGAUAUAAACAUUGGAUUAUUUUACCUGAAAUGCACAAGGUCCUCUACUCCCGACAAUUAAUCCACAGAUAAAAGGGUAAACCUAGUUAGUUUCUAGUAAUCUUUCCAUUCAUCUGUGGACUUUAUAUGGCAGUUGGCAACCAACUAAGGUGCAUUACCACCACCAACUGGGCCGGAGUGUGGACCUCACUUCAUCUUUCAAUCAUCCACGUGGGUAUAUGCUCCUAAAAACCAAUGAGUAGAUGGGAGAGGUGUGUAGGCAGAGGAGAGGUGUGUAGGCAGCACAUCAAUCAUAAAAAUUAUACCAAGUUCAGUGAGCAGUUUGGAUUGAAUAACGUGUACAUUUUAUUUUGCAACUUGCCCGUAACAAGAGCGGUGUGGUCUGCAUGUUAGACCAGCCACAUGGACAGCUGAUGAAACAUAGUAUUUUUGUCCGUAAUAAAGCCCUUUUUGUGGGGAAAACUUCUGGUUGGCUGGGCCUAUGGCUGUCCAGUGGCUGGGCCCCUGCCCAUUCAUGUGAAAUCCAUAAAUUAGGGCCUAAUGAUUUUUUUUUUAAAUUGACUGAUUUGAUUUAUAUGAACUGUAACUCGGUAAAAUCGUUUCAUGUUAUGUUUUAUUUUUGUUCAGUAUUGCUGGUUGAUAAGAUGAAUCAGGUUAGUAAGACAACCUACAGGACGGUAAGCUCUCCAGGAACAGGGUUGGAGAAUCCUGACCUAGAAAUGUUUAGUUAUGUUUUGUCUUGAUACUGGUCUGUACCGGUUUGUACCAUCUCAGUGCAAGUGAAACAUCUGGCUAAGUCUUUAAUCCUUAAAUCUAUUUACGCAUCCGUCAGUUUUAAGAUAGAGAUAUCUGUUUUUUUGCAUGGGCUGCGUCUCAAUCCACCAUCUGCCUAUGUCGGCCUUCCGCACCUGCGGUGGAAGGUGGCUGAGCUACAGCGGUGUUUGUCAGACCAUGAGACAUCCUGAAAAUCGAUCUUCUCACAAACGUCUGUAGCGUCCGAACGGUUUGGCCUACAAACUAAUAUGACCACUCUAUGGAAAGAUGACUCUUUUGCUCUACGGGACUCGUCUGAAGCUUGAAAACUAUUUUCAUAGUCUCAAAAAUCCAAAACUCAGGGAGGAGCAAGAAGCAGCUAGGCGUCGUCAAGAAAAGAAUAGUAAAAGCAACAGUGCCACGCCAACCAAGGCAAAGGAGCACAAGGAUUCCUGUGAGGAGGUUGAGCGACCAGGCCUGUUGGCAGUCGUGAAGGCGCCACCCAAACCGCGGCGCGCCAAACUCCUCAACAAGGGCCGCAAGCUGAGUGCUCGGAAGCGCGGGCGUCCCAAGAAGGCUGCUGUGGCCGCAGCUGAGCGAAAGAGCAAGAGCAGCCAGAGUGCCCUGGAUCUGCUGCAUGCCAAGACCCUCUCAGCAGCACCCCCUCAGGAUGCAUACAGGUCACCUCAAAGUCCCUUCUACCAGCUACCUCCCAAAGUUCAGCACUAUGCGUCUGGCCAACUUCUGCUGGGCCCCAGUCCUCCUGGCCUACAACAGCUUCUAGACAACAUUAAAGUCCAGUACCUCCAGUUCAUGGCCUACAUGAAGACACCUCAGUACCGCAACAACCUGCAGCAAGUCCUGGAGCAGGAAAAGCUCAAACACAGAGGGCUUUCUGGGCAGGCGGAGCAUCUGCAGACUGCGUGUCAGACCCACAAAGAGAAAAUCAAAGGGCUCUUCCACCACAAACUGGAUGAGCUGGGAGUGAAGGCCCUCACCAUGGAGGACCUAUUGGAGGCCCAGAAGGAGAUCUCGGCCCACAACCGUCAACUGAAGGAGCAGACCAAGCAUCUGGAGAGGGACAUGGCCGAGCUGAGGGAUCACAGCCUGCUCCUGUUGAAGUCUCGGUGUGAGGAGCUGAAGCUGGACUGGAGCUCUCUGUGUCUUGAGAGCCUGCUGAAGGAGAAGCAGGCCCUGCGUAGACAGAUCUCAGAGAAACAGCGCCACUGCCUCGAGCUGCAGAUCAGCAUCGUGGAACUGGAGAAGAGUCAGAGGCAACAGGAGCUGCUCCAGCUCAAGUCCUACAGUCCCUGUGAGGGCUCCCUCUACCACAAGGGCCUCCCCGGCCUGGAGGCCCUCCCUCGUCCUCCCCUGGACCACCACACCCCCAAACUCAGCCUGGCUGCGGCCGGCCUCAACAGUCUUAGCCCUGAGCUGUCCAUCAACAGCAUCGCCUCGCCCUGCUUCCACAGGGAUGGUGGGGGGAUCAAGGGAGAGUUGCUCUCCCGCUACCUGCCCAUCUCGCCCGACCACGAGAUUGUACCCCCCACCCCGGAUGCCCGGCACAGGCAGCUGGGUCACCCCCUCCCCGACUACACCCGCUACUCCCCAGCUAAGAUCGCCCUGCGCAGACACCUGAACCAGGACUCAAGUAUGGCACACUUCAGAGGCCUGGGCUUCACUGGUCUCAGGGAUAUGGUUGCUGUCACCUCUCCAUUAGGAGCUAAACUGAGCUGCCUCUCUCCCAACUCAUCAGACAGUCUGCAGAACAACACACCCAGGAGUGCUGAGAGGGGGGGCCAGGGUGACACCAUCACCAGCCUGCCCAUCAGUAUCCCCCUCAGCACGGUGCACCCCAGCAAGCUCCCUGUUAGCAUCCCCCUGGCCAGUGUGGUGCUGCCCAGCCGAGCUGAGAGACUGAGGAGCACACCGAGUCCUUUGUCCCAGACGGGCCAGACCAACGGGUACUCCUCUAGCUCAGGGCUGAUGAACGGAGGCUCUCACUCUGAGGACCAGGACAGUGCUGCCCUCUCCCCUCCCCCUCACGGUGCCCCUCUAACGGGACCAACACAAGGCCACAGCCCCCCUCUCAGCACCGGGGGGGUCCUCCAGUACGCUGACGGCCCCCCCAGAAUCCUCCCUGAGGACUGGGCCGAGCGGCACGGCGAGUCUGACUCUGAGCCCCAGGACAGCGAGUCCAGACGCCGCGUGUUCUUCUCUUCAUCCUCCUCGUCCUCCUCUUCAUCCUCUUCAGGGGGUGCAGCCACUCGCCUACACCUCGGCACGGCCAGGCAGGGCAAGCAUCACCACGGCAACCACAACACCAAUAACCACCACCACUCGCCGGGCUCCCAGCACACACACUCCCACGGCCAUGGAUCACAAGAGGGGCGCAAGCGUGGGAGGAGAAAGCGCAGCUCCACGGGGGCUCAACUUGCCAGCGGCUCCCCAAAGAGGAGGUCCUUUCCUGCGCUCAGCUCCACCAGCCAACCCUCAGGAUCCCCACUCAACAUCAACUCCAUGGUGAACAACAUAAACCAGCCUCUGGAGAUCGCUGCCAUUUCUUCCCCGGAGCAGUCUGGUUGUAGCCCCUGUGGGCCGGACAUGGACCAGCCCCCCGUACUGAAGAGAGAACGCCCUCUGGAGAUCAACGGCUCAGGACACUACUCCUCUGCACCCAGCUCCGACGACGACUCUGGCUACCCUGCUGACAGCUCCAGCUCAAGAAUUGAAAGGAAGAUUGCCACUAUUUCCUUGGAGAGCAGAGAUGGAGCAGGCAGACCAGGGAACAGCGAGCGGGGAAGGAAAUCGGGAGGCAGCAGCGGGAACAGCACCGGCAGUGAAGUCUCCUCUUCAUCCUCAUCUUCCAACAGCAAGUGGAAGUCUACCUUCUCCCCCAUCUCAGACACCAAGCAGCCCCCAGGCGAGCUGAGGCAGGAGGGCUCCCCCUUCGGUAUGGGGAGAGAGCCACCGGGCUUAGGCACCGACUCAGACUCUGAUCACAAACCGCAGCAGAGGAGGGGGGGUGAGUCCUCAGCAUCUCCGUACAUUCCCCCUAGCCCCUUCCUCAGCCAGGAGGCUGGUGGCCGGCCGGGGGCAGGCCCCCAGGGAGGAAGCAGCUCAGAGAGGCAGGCUAUGCCCAAACAGAAGCCCAGGGGGGAGUGGGAGCUGAAGACAUCCAGCAGCCUAGGAAACAGCCAAAACCUCUUCAUCUCUGCGGCGGCCAGCGGGGGUAUCCUGAGCGGGAAGGUGGGGGGAAGCCCAGUAGCUGUGUCCUCAGCCUCAGGGGCUUCUGUGGGACAGUACCUGGGGGCCCAGUUUCCCCUCGGGGGGGCCUCUGUCCUUCAGUCCCUAUUUGGGGCCCAGACGCCCAGCACCUCGGUGAGCGGGGCCUCUCGCCUGGUCAACGGACACUCUUCCCUGGGGAGCUUCUCCAGCGCUGGGCUGGCAGGUGGAGCAGCUGGAGGUAUCUUUCACCACGUGGUGCCCUCAGUGUCGUCCCAUCAGUUUGGGGCUGUGCUGCCAGCCACAGGAGGCCUCAGCUCUCUGCUCAGUCUCUCCUCCCAGCAGCAUCACCACAUUGCCCCUCACUCAUGCUCCUCCUUCCUGGCCUCUGUGUCCUCCACCAUCCCCCUGCCCCUCUCACAGGCCCAGCACAGCCGCACCCAGACAGUACUGCACACUCCUCUGCCCCCCAUGCGCUCCCUUCCACCUCCCCCGCCUCUACUUAAUGUCUCCUACUCUUCCUCUGUCCCCUUUUCCUCUGAGCCCACUCCCUCGUCUCGCUCUGAGUCCUUCCUCUCCUCCCGACUGGUCGCCUCUUCCCUCCAACAUCAGAGGGCACAGUCCUCCUCAAUCUCUCUCUCUGGUUCCUCUGCUACUGCUUCUACCCCCCUUCCUCCUUCCUCUCGUAACUUCACAGUACACCACCCCCCUCACCUGCUCCCUCCAACCCCGGCCAGUAUAUCAGGAGGUGGGGGCAUCAUGUGGAGGACUCUGGGCUUGCCUGCUUCCUACAUGUCGUCCUCUCAGCACACCGGUUCCCGGCCUAGAUAGGUCACGGGUGGGGGGGUGGGGGGGGGUUAGGUCAGUCAGAGGGAUAAGGAGGAGAGAUCUGGUUGUCCCUGUUCUCCCCAAGCUGCUAUUCAGUCCCAACAAGGUAACUGAAGAAUAUCUACCUCAACCCAACGUAACCUAUGCAAAUGGCCAGGUGUGGACCAAGGUACUCUUUCACUGGUGCUCCUAAGCCUGUUAAAUUGCCACUGAUUUGGGACUCUACACACACACACACACACACACACACACACACACACACACACACACACACACACACACACACACACACACACACACACACACACACACACACACACACACACACAGAGAGCUGAGAACACACACACACACACACACACAUAUAUAUAUAUCACACACACAUAUAUAUAUAUCACACACACACACACAUAUAUCACACACACUCACGUUGACACACACAGCAUGGCAUCCUGAGCGGAGUUGAGCGGUCACGGGGGUUUUUGUGUCGUGGGUUGAGGCUGACCGUAAUCCGUGAGUUGUGUACCUACCAUCCUGAAUGAAUUGGUAUGCUGCCUGCUAUAAACAUUAACGUUAUAGAGACACAGGACAUGCACUGUUUCCAUGGCAGUAAGUUGUACAGGUACAUCACUGUCACCAUGUAACCUGGUGCUACUAAAUAUGAAAUAUAGAUAACUAUAUUGAGCUUUAAGACUCAAUUCAGACAUUUGAUGACAGAAGAAAGCACAGUUAGCAGUGUAGUUGUACAUGUUAUAUUACUAAAGACAGACUGUAAAUGGCGGGAGACUCCUGUGGUACCAUCAUCCCGGUAUCAUCUUUGUUCUGUUAUUAUCUGACCACCAGGGUGCUUUCUUAGCCCCCCCCCCACACACACACACACACAAAGAAUGCGUUUACACAGGCAGACCUAUUCUGAUCUUUUUUCCAGUAAUUGGUCGUUUGAACCUAUCAGCUCUGAAAAAGAUCUGAUGUGAUUGGUCAAAAGACCAAUUAGUGUUAAAAAAUAAAUAAAUAAUAUAUAUAUAAUUUGUCUGCCUGUGUAAAUGCAUCUAUAUAUACACAGUCUAGACCAGUUUAACCCAACUCUGUACAGGACUAGGGACCAUGCAGCGGUGACUCUGCAUCUCUAUCGCUCUGCUAGCUAACCUUUAACCCUGAUAACUUCAGUGAAUUUAGUAUGAUUUGACCACAUUAGCUUUUGGCUACAGUAUGAAACGAGAAGCUGUUUGUUCAAACACACUGGAUCACAUAUCUGUGUACCCUCACUGUGGAAACAUCCCUGGUGCAGGGACAGCACUAUAGUCGGCUCAGAGUAAAAAAGUUGUUGGUGUGAUCAUUUAUGUGAAUAACGACAGUUUCUGGAAAUGUAAUAGUAAGCCUCUAGGGUGUUCUCAUUCAUUUGAAUGCUGUGUCAAAAUGUAUGGAAGUGAACAGCAGAAAGACUUGAGGAUGUAAUGGGGAAACAGGAUUCAAUUACUGAGACAGUCAGUUGGUAAUCACUACUUAUAGAGCCAGCUAGGGAGUAGGGACCUGCAACGCAAUGUGCAUUCUUCACAAGUAGGAAUCUCAACUACUCUAACUUAAGCUUCUUGGUUUUGUUUUUAUAGCCCUGCUGAAACACUGAUACGAUGAAAAAUGCAGGUGUAAUUUUGGGACUUUUAAUAUUGUCCGUGUUGUAUUCAGGCAAGUCUCUGGAACCCUAUCUCACGGAGUUCACAGGGGACGGGUAUUUUUUUAUAUAUUUUUUUUAUACGUGUCAACCUUUUGUCCACUGAAGGCUAUAGUGGUACUUUCUGCAGCCUGUCCAACCUGCACACACUGAUGUACGAACAUCCUCACUCACACACUGGUAUACGGACAUCCUCACUCACACACUGGUAUACGGACAUCCUCACUCACACACUGGUAAAUGCAUGAAUAACAACAAACUACUGGGCAAUUUUCACUUUUGAUUUAUUUCAUUUUUGUAAACAACAUUGUACUGUGAAUGGGAGACAUUCUGACUGUUUAAUUGUGUAUAAUUUUGAUCAUUAUAUUUAUGCUGUCAUGUUUUUUGUUUAUUUUGUUCUCCUGAAAUGUAUAACAGUGUAGAAUGCAAUAGGUAUAAGUGUGUACUUAACGUAGUCUGAAAACAUUGGUGCUACAAUCUGUAACUCUGGACUGUGCCUCAUUUUAUUUAUACAAUAUUAAGAACAUCAAUAACUGUCUAUACUUGGUGCUUCUUGUACACAGGGACGUUUUAAAUGCCAUUUUCUGGCAUUCUUUCUCGUAUUUAAAGUGUAGUUAUCAGAUUUUUGAAUUGUUGUACUAGUGUACAACUGCAGACGAUUUGGCUCAGAGUUAAGACAAAAGGUAACGCUCUCAUUCGAUGCGUUUUCACACAGUAUUUUUGGCAUACUGCGAAUCACCCUUUUGCUUUCAAACUUGCCACUUGUUCCGGACUAUUUGUAAAUGUUUUUUUUUUUUUGACCGUUUGUUUAUUAAGGGUGUGUUGCUGAUUUAAGAAACGCCUAGAUUGCUUUGGGGUAUUAUUUAAUUACUAUAUUUUUUGGGGGGGGCCUGACAUGUGGCAAACUUCUACAACCUGUCAAACAGGUUGGGCCAGCACCCAAGGGAGACAGAGGUGUGCAGAGUUGUUAAGCCAGUGCUUUAAUAGUGAGAAACACCAUGACUAUUCAGUGUCAAUGAGGGCUCCUCUGAGAUGUGUACUGUACAAGUUAAAAGUUUAGACACUUUUUUUGGUUACUACAUGAUUCCGUAUGUUUUAUUUCAUAGUUUGAUCUAUUCACUAUUCUACAAUGUAUAAAAUGGUAAAAAUAAAAACCCUUGAAUGAGUAGGUGUCUAAACUUUUGACUGGUACUGUAUAUAUUUAUCUAGAGAGUACAAGCGUUGAGUAUAUGUGCUUAACCUAUGCAGACAGAGAUUUUGUGCUGAAACUAGCCUGUCUGGAUUGUAUCAGAUUGACUAUGCUUUUUAAAGAAAAAUGUAUACUGGUGCUCUUUCAACCACACAAACAGAUUUCUGAAAAUGUUCUGGGUGCAUCCAAAAACCAAAUGUCUUCUCAUUUCUGCUACUUGUCCUGGGAUAUGUCUUAAAACUGCCUCCUUCCCAUAGCGUGAGCAUAUUACAUCUGUUUGUGAUUACAAGUUAAUUGUUCCAAUAUAACUGGUAGUAGAAUAACUAGUAGGUAUUAUGUGAUUUUGCAACAAUCAGGCUUCCUUUUGAUCUGAUUGCCAAAUGAGUCUUUACUAAUUGAGGAUGUGAAGCAGCAGGACAUUCAUUUCUCUUCAUUGUUUUGUUCGUUUCACCUAUGCCCUCAAUGAAAAAUUACUCAUCAAAGCAUUAGUCACAAUGUGGUCCGGUAGGCAAGUGCUUUGUAACCAGGAAUGUGUAUAUCAACCCUUCUGUUCAAGUAAAGUGAGGACAAUGAUUUGUUCAUGUCAGACAUGAACAAAAAAGCGAAUUCCAUUGUUAACAGCGCUGACGGGCCUUUUUGUAAUUAUUGUUAAAAUUUUUUUUUGGUGUUUGAUAUAAUCGCAGUUGGUAUCAAUUAUGCUUUUAUUAUGACAAGAUUCAGAUCAAGUUUUAAUACUCUUAAACAGACAGUGCGGUGCUCUCCUACACUUAAAAUGAGGGAAAAUGCAGCUAUUGAUUAAUACACUUCUGUUGUGCUAGAGGGGAAAGGUUUAAACUUCAACACAGGCUAUUUAAUCAGAAAAUAUACUUCCUAGUUGGCUGGAGUGGUGUGUGUGUGUGUGGGAGUGAGAAUAGUAUUGGGUAGUGAAUAUUGUUACUUCAGCUUUCAACAAACUUUUACAACAUGCCCUGUUUCUAAUAUGUCCACUGAAGAACUACGCCUAUGAUCUCUCUGGCAAAUAUGGAUGAAUUAUAUUGAAGUCAUAUAGUGCUCUAUACAUUUUCUCAAUGCAUUACUUUACAGUUAAGACUUUUCCACAUACCAAGACUGAAUCCUGCCAAGUCUCUCUCAGGAACUUAUCAGAUAUCUUGAAAUGCUAUAACACUUUGAAUACUGUAUGUCCCACUUAACUUUAAACUGGGACUUAUGUUUCUCCCUUUCUCAGGACCAGGGACCGCAUUUAUAUUUUGAUGUACGGUAACUUAAAUUGAUAUUGGUGCUUUGAGUUGACUAACUGCCUUAGAUGUAUGUUUGUCUCCUCAAUUUCUCACUGUCACACACAUCCAGCCACACCAGCAAAAGACUGCAGGUUUGUUCGACUAGUCUGAAGAUGUCGUGGAAAAGCCUCAUCUCUUCCUACUCUCACACAUGUCUCAAUCCCUUUCCUCUUUCUCAAAAUGAAAUGUCCUUUGACCUUCAGUGUUGUGAUCCUUACAUAGGAGAACGCUGUGUAGUUGAAGGAAUUAAUUUAACUCUCUCAGUAAAGCCAGGGCAGGUUUGAGGUGCAAUAGGCAAACCUACGUUCCAAAACACCCUGGGUUGUCAUGGAAACUCUUGGUGUUGGUGCUUUUAUCUUAAAUAUGAUUAAUGACAAAUUGAAAUUUGUUUAGCUUUUUAUGAUUAAUAAAAUGUUUUCUUAUAAAGUG